UACAGAGGGUGCGAGCGUUAAUCGCAGUUACUGGGCGUAAAGGGCGCGUAGGCGGCUUGAUAAGGUUGCGGUGAAAGCCCGGGGCUCAACCCCGGGUCGGCCGUGGCAACUGUCGAGCUGGAGCACUGUAGAGGCAGGUGGAAUUCCGGGUGUAGCGGUGGAAUGCGUAGAGAUCCGGAAGAACACCGGUGGCGAAGGCGGCCUGCUGGGCAGUGGCUGACGCUGAGGCGCGACAGCGUGGGGAGCAAACAGG
This 253-nucleotide ribosomal RNA is filed under the name uncultured bacterium. Its description in RNAcentral is "partial 16S ribosomal RNA". It matches the Rfam family "Bacterial small subunit ribosomal RNA", at positions 524 to 776 of the family's 1533-position model. The record is from RNAcentral.